RNAcentral lists this long non-coding RNA (496 nucleotides) under Rattus norvegicus (Norway rat). RNAcentral's name for it is "long non-coding RNA NONRATT002914". The record is from RNAcentral. Lineage: Eukaryota; Metazoa; Chordata; Mammalia; Rodentia; Muridae.
ACAAGGCUCACUUCAUCAUCUACUGGUGAAGCAGAAAGCACAGCAUGCAGGGCAGUUCCCGUUCUACUUUACAUAGGCUGAGGACAAUGACUAGAUUCUAGCAACAGAAUGUAAGCAGAAAUAUCAUCAAACCAAUUCAAGACAUGGACCACAAAAACCAGAACAAGGAACACCAUCUACCAAAGUUACACACGUAGCCAUUGCCAUGAGCCAGCAACGUCAUUGCCUGGUAUAUACCCAAGAGAAGGAAUAGCAUAUGACUUCAGAACGGCAAACAAAAGCACAUGCAGGUCUGGAGAUGUAGCUCAGUUGAUGGAAUCCUUGUGUGAAGCCUUGGGUUCCAUCAGCACAGCAUAAAUUACAUAGGGUAGUAUAGGCCGAUAAUUCCAGCACUGGGGCAACAGGCAGGAUGGUUGGAAGUGUAAGUUCAUUCCUAGUUACUCAGAGAGUUUGAGGGCAGCUUGUGCUGCCUGAGACUGUGUUAAAAAAAAAAAAA